RNAcentral lists this ribosomal RNA (889 nucleotides) under uncultured organism. RNAcentral describes it as "bacterial SSU rRNA". It matches the Rfam family "Bacterial small subunit ribosomal RNA", at positions 509 to 1397 of the family's 1533-position model. The record is from RNAcentral.
CAGCCGCCGCGGUAAUACGGAGGGUGCAAGCGUUAAUCGGAAUUACUGGGCGUAAAGCGUGCGUAGGCGGUUUAUUAAGUCAGAUGUGAAAGCCCCGGGCUUAACCUGGGAACUGCAUUUGAAACUGGUCAACUAGAGUAUGGUAGAGGAAAGUGGAAUUUCUGGUGUAGCGGUGAAAUGCGUAGAUAUCAGAAGGAACAUCAAUGGCGAAGGCAGCUUUCUGGACCAAUACUGACGCUGAGGUACGAAAGCGUGGGUAGCAAACAGGAUUAGAUACCCUGGUAGUCCACGCCGUAAACGAUGAUAACUAGCCGUUGGGGGGAUUUACCCUUUAGUGGCGAAGCUAACGCGUUAAGUUAUCCGCCUGGGGAGUACGGCCGCAAGGCUAAAACUCAAAGGAAUUGACGGGGACCCGCACAAGCGGUGGAGCAUGUGGUUUAAUUCGAUGCAACGCGAAGAACCUUACCUGGUCUUGACAUCCUGCGAACUUUCUAGAAAUAGAUUGGUGCCUUCGGGAACGCAGUGACAGGUGCUGCAUGGCUGUCGUCAGCUCGUGUCGUGAGAUGUUGGGUUAAGUCCCGUAACGAGCGCAACCCCUAUCCUUAUUUGCCAGCACGUCAUGGUGGGAACUAUAAGGAGACUGCCGGUGAUAAACCGGAGGAAGGCGGGGACGACGUCAAGUCAUCAUGGCCCUUACGACCAGGGCUACACACGUGCUACAAUGGGAAGGACAAAGAGCCGCGAAGCCGCGAGGUGUAGCUAAUCUCAGAAACCUUUUCGUAGUCCGGAUUGGAGUCUGCAACUCGACUCCAUGAAGUCGGAAUCGCUAGUAAUCGUAGAUCAGAAUGCUACGGUGAAUACGUUCUCGGGCCUUGUACACACCGCCCGU